RNAcentral lists this ribosomal RNA (425 nucleotides) under uncultured bacterium. Its description in RNAcentral is "partial 16S ribosomal RNA". It matches the Rfam family "Bacterial small subunit ribosomal RNA", at positions 354 to 796 of the family's 1533-position model. The record is from RNAcentral.
GUGGGGAAUCUUAGACAAUGGGCGCAAGCCUGAUCUAGCCAUGCCGCGUGGACGAUGAAGGCCUUAGGGUUGUAAAGUCCUUUCGCUGGGGAAGAUAAUGACGGUACCCAGUAAAGAAGCCCCGGCUAACUCCGUGCCAGCAGCCGCGGUAAUACGGAGGGGGCUAGCGUUGUUCGGAAUUACUGGGCGUAAAGCGCGCGUAGGCGGAUCGGAAAGUUGGGGGUGAAAUCCCGGGGCUCAACCUCGGAACUGCCUCCAAAACUAUCAGUCUUGAGUUCGAGAGAGGUGAGUGGAAUUCCGAGUGUAGAGGUGAAAUUCGUAGAUAUUCGGAGGAACACCAGUGGCGAAGGCGGCUCACUGGCUCGAUACUGACGCUGAGGUGCGAAAGCGUGGGGAGCAAACAGGAUUAGAUACCCGAGUAGUCC